ACCUCACGUUUCUUCGCGUGUUCCUCUGUUUCCUCAACCUCAACGUCCAAUUUUUUUCGCUGGAUAUUUUCUUCUGAAGUGAAAAAAUCAUCUUCUUCUUGUUUUCCAAUCCCUAACUUUGGAUCUCUAAUCCCAGAUUUUAUGGGCUCAACUAUUCCCUGCUCAUCCUUUCCAAGACCUUUCCCUUUCCAUCCCAUUUUCUGAAGAAGCCUAAACCCAAUGUUAGAUGCUGUCAACUUUGUGUCGAGUGAUGCCUGUUCAACAUUAUCCAGAUCCACAUUUUCUGUGGGCUUGUGAUUAAUAGGCAAGCGAAAAUCUUCCACCAAAUCCUCAAUAAGAGAAUCCUGCUCCCUAUUUUGUUGACUUUUUUCUUGGACUUCUCUUUCUGGUUCACUACUGUACCAUCUGUUGUCCAUUUUUUACCAGCUGCUGCUUCCGCCUUCUUACAGACUCGC
Molecule: unclassified non-coding RNA, 455 nt
Filed under: Hevea brasiliensis (rubber tree)
Lineage: Eukaryota; Viridiplantae; Streptophyta; Magnoliopsida; Malpighiales; Euphorbiaceae
Source: RNAcentral